GAGAAGCUAGUCGGGUGAUGGGAUGAGUGAGAAUGACAAGUUGCGUCUGAUUGUCCUGGAGACCUGGCUGAGAACUCUUUGUUUUCAGUGAGAGUCAGUUUCCAUAGAGAACUGCAUGGUAGUCACCAAGAACCGAGGGGGCCCAGGAAUGCCCCAGCAGUGGUCCCCUGGUGUGUCCAUGGGAUGAGCUGACUGGCCCACCUAGUGGGAGCCUGUGCACCACGGUUCGUGUGGCCCAGGGGAGGAGGUUUUGCCUUUCCUGGACCCCACUUUAUG
RNAcentral lists this long non-coding RNA (276 nucleotides) under Homo sapiens (human). RNAcentral describes it as "HSALNT0131801". The record is from RNAcentral. Lineage: Eukaryota; Metazoa; Chordata; Mammalia; Primates; Hominidae.